AUCUACUGUUGUCAUACAUAAAAAAAAGUGUGAAAAGUUGUUUCCCAUGAAAAUGAAAUUCGUAAUAAAUCUAUGUUUAGGUACAGAAAUCCUGACUACAGUACAAAUGCCAAUUUUUUUUAGGUAGAUAUUCAUAGUCCUGUCGCCAAGGGGGUACAACGGCCUCCUUUAUUUAGAUGGUCUUACCCAAGAUUUUUUUAUGUAUCUUGACCCGUAGAACACGAAUUUGUUGGGUAACAGUUGAUCCGGAUGUCGAUAAGAUUGUUAUAAACAAAGAACUUGAGGAAUUACAUAACAGCGAUUUCUCGCAAAACAAAACAUUUUUUUUUUGUAUUUUUUGGGUCAUUCUAAGCAAAAACUGUUCUGACAAGUUUUUUCGUAGGAUGCAUAGUUUUCGAGAUAAACGCGGUUGAACAUAAAAUCGAAAAAUUGCAAUUUUUGAACCCGAAAAAAUUUAUUUUUGCUAAAGGUGAUACAGUAGCGAUCAACAAGUAGCAAAAACGCGUUCCAAGAUUGCGGCUGUAAUUUUGAAUAUUUUUUCGAGAUAUUUGGCACACGUAUUCGUAAUAAAAUAAAGAAUGGCGGUACAGUGCCCAAUUUGAAAAAUAUAUUAAUAUGUGGAAAUUACUCUGUAAUUAAAUACAAUAUUAAAAAAACGAGCCUGUACCGCCAUUAAGAAGAACAAAAAAAUACAAUUUCUUCAAAUAAACUUUUUUAUCCGAUGCCUAGAUUUUGUGUAAUUUUGGAACUACUAAAAUUUUUUAUUUCAUUAGUAGUUCCAAAAUGACACAAAAUCUAGGCAUCGGAUAAAAAAAUUGAAGAAAGUGUAUUUUUAUAAAAAGUGCAGGGCUAACAAUGCCGAGGAAGAUCUAUCAGGCUGCAUCUCACUUCCCGCCUGUCCAGCACGGUAAAAUUCCAACAAAGCUUAGUUCCGAAUACUCAGAUUACGAGUAGAACUAAUCAAAAUAAUAAAUAAUCAUUCCAUGAAGUACGACUUAACCUGGUAGAUUUCCCUCGGCCUUCUUAGCUCCGGCAAUUCGUUGGCUUGCAAAUUUUAGAAGCCACAAGCCACGAUUGGUUUAACCAGAAGACUAGUUCUAAGUUUUAUUUUAUUUUUGAUAUUGUUAAUAUUAGAAGUAAAACUUUCGUUCGUCUUUAGCAGAUACCGCCACGGCAUUCAUGCCAUCAUUUCGUUGUGAACCGAUAACGGUAGCCCGAAUUUUAGUAGUUCAAAGAGAAUGAAAUAUGCACUUCUGAUGGGACCCUAAGAAGGGUUAAAGGGUGUUCUAGAGUGCCUUUGGCGCUCUAUGAACUAAAUAAAAUAAGACUGCUCUCGUUUCGCUUCACAAUGAAAUUAUUAUUUAUUAUUAUUUUUUCGUACAAAUACCUAUGUUAACAUAAAAUUUUCACCCAUUUGGGUUUAUUUUUAUAAAUAUUUAUUUACUAAUAACAAAAUUGUUUUCGGUUACUUCCAUUUAGCGCGCCUAUGAGUUAAAUUGUCAAUAAUAUUAAUCUUACAUAAUGUCAAAGAUUACCAAUGUUGCCAAAGUUUAUGAUACUAUCUCCCGAAGUUAUAUUUUAUUGCUACCUGUUGAUCGCUACUGUUUACUCUUAUGAAAAGUUGUUUAGAAUAAUUCAAAACUAUGUUUUAUUCAGUGUGCGUCUUGGAAGAGUGUUGCCAUCGUAUACGCUAAAAGCUGAUUGGCUCCGCCAUCUUUUGCUCAGAUUUCCGGAUUCAUUUGGAAGGGGUAAACAGAUGAUCAGUUGUUUAUUUUGGUUUUUAUUUUUCGUUUACUCUGGUUUAACCUCACUUAACUAGAUAGAUCGAGAAAUAUUAAAUUACUAUUACUAUUAUUCAGGUUGAAAAAUGCCUUCCUCUAAGGUAAAAGGUUGCGAAGUCGAUUGGGGGGAAAAAUAAUGUGAAAAUGAAUUCUUUCCCAAAAGAAUCUGAACGACGGAAAGUGUGGAUUAAAAAUAUAGGGUUAAAACAAGAUCCAAACAAAUAUGCUGUUGUUUGUGAAGAACACUACUUCUGACAUGUGGAAAAAAGUUAGACAAGAUGGCAGCAGAAAAUUAAAAUGCAAUGCUGUACCAACAAUAUUUAGAGAAGAAAGCGAAAGUAUUUAAUUAUUUAUAUUGGUUUUUUGUUUAUUCACCAAUUUAACACCUAUAGAUAUUUGUAUAACAAGAGAGCGAAGUGCACCUUUUCCUCCCAAGAAUAAAGUUUACUAGUUUACUACAGUAAUCAUUCAAGGGAGGAAAAGGCACUUCUCCCAUGUUAUACAUUUUUCCACCUCCCUCAAAUAAGUCAUUUUUUCAUUUUUUAAAUAUUUAUAUAACUGUUGAUUGAAUACAUGAAUCAUAAUUGAAUACAGGAAUUUGUGUAUUCAAUCAACAAUAGAAGUAACAAAAUUUAUUAGAGAACUAAAACUAACAAUUAAGUACAGUAUAACUAUCAAAUUAUUAAUGAGAAAUUUUUAAAUCAAAAUAACAAUUUACUGUUUUUACCAUUUUGCAACAUCUAUAAAUAAAAUUUAAAAUGUAUGGAUACUUACCUAAUAGAAAAUAGAGUAAUAGUAUAGGGUGUCAAUAAGUUAUUUCAUCUAUGCUAUGACAUAGUAUGAUGUCAACAUCACUUUUACUUUUACUCCCUAGGGAUUAAAAGUACUUUGUUUCCCUAGGGAGAAAAAAAUAUGACUGCUCCCUACAAUGAGGCCAGGAAAUGUAUACUUUGGAUAGAGGUAGGUGGGAAAAUCUGUUUUAUUCAGUUAUUGUGAUUUGUUUCUUACAGACAAUCGGUUUGUUCUAGCACGAGUUUCAAACGGUCUGAAACCAUUAGCGAAUAGUGGACCAGCGCGAGUAGAGGGGAUAGCACUCGUAACUGUAUUAUGUUCUCUCACUGACCAACUGUUUGCUGACUAGUUCGACUGUUUGCUAGAACAAACCUAUUAUUCAAACAAAAUGUCCUCUACGUCAGACUGAUCAGAAUUUUAAAAAUGUGUCAUAUCAAUCAAAUCAAAAAAUUUCAAAAAUUGUUCCUGUAACCAUUUUUAGUGGAAAUAAUAACAGUACUUAUAUUGGAUCAGAGAGCCACCCAAUUCAUUGUUAAAGUAUGAUAAACUAAAAGUUAAACAAUUAGGCAUGCACUUCAUAUUAUAUUUAAUGAAAUAUAACCCACUGGUACUCGUACAAACUUGACGGCAAGCAAAUUCAACAAAUUUUUCCUCAUUUAUUAGUUUUUCACUACCGUUAAGUUUGGAAACAAGCGCUGUUGCCAAAUAAAAACAUAUACAGUCGGAAAAAUGAAAGAAUACCCAUGAACGAUCACAUCAAUCACAUAUUUUGUAUUUGCUGUUUUUUUUUCAUAAAUAAUAAAUGAGAGAGAUAGAUUAUUAAUAAUCUGAAUAUGUGAUUGAUGUGAUCGUUCAUGGGUAUUCUUUCAUUUUUUCGACGGUAUGUAUUUACCACAGCAACUACAGGUGACACUGUUUCUCUUUGUCUUUAAGAGUGUGAAACAAAGAUAACUACAGUGGGAAAAAUAAAGAAUACCCAUGAACGAUCACUUAUUUUGUUUCCUAUCUUUUUCUAUAACAAACGUUUAUUAUUUAUAGAAAAAGACAACAAACAUAAAUUAAGUGAUUGAUGUGAUCGUUCAUGGGUAUUCUUUCAUUUUUCCAACUGUAUCUGUAAUAUACGCUGUUAAUUAAAAAAUCGCGAGAGCCAGUAGUGACAAGUCUGUAAACCUUUACUGGAAAUUUGACAUAAAUGUCAAAGUGAAUAAUUUAAAAUUGAAAUUAAAAACAUUAAUCAGAAAAAAUAUUAGUUGGUCAAAGCUGUGGUAUAUAUUUUUAUCUUAAGUAUACUUACGGUUUAAAUACUGAAUUAAGUUUUUUUAAAAUUUUGUAAUAUCUAAUUAUAAUUAGAUAUAAAUCAUCUAAGUGCCAUCUACACGAUAAUUGUGAAUGUAUCUGAAGUAAGAAAUUAAUAUUUCAUUAAGAGAACGUUAAAACAGUUAGCAAAAUUUUUAAAAAAUCGAUUACAAUUUAAUUACUUUUUUGCGUUGUAAAUAUUAAGCGAUAAAAUUAAAUAAUAAAUUUAAAAAUUACUGGUGAAAGUUGAAUUAGUAAUCCGCUAGGAGCGACACCAGCGAAGCUCAGAGCGUAUAAGUGGGUGUGUUUGGACGACCAUAGCGGCUGACUGUCAGCAGAAAUCGGCUGAGUGGUUGUAUCCAGCUGUGAUAGGGAAAGCUUAGUAAAUCUCUCAGCGGCUGACUUCCAGCGGUGACGUCUGACAGCUACUGCUGGCUCAGCUGUCCAGCCGCUGUGGUCAUCCGAACGCACCCAGUGUCAGUCAUGUUUUCCUAUAGUAUAGAAGGCUUAGAUAGAAGGUUAUGUAAGAUUUUUGUUUGUUUAUUUUUUCUUCUUUUGUGGCCUUUGGAAGCUGUGCGCAUUUAGCCAGCGACAUUUCUUAAAAUGAAUGCCUAACUAAACCUACCAUACAAGAAAACCUAAACGACCAAUCAAGGAUACGGAAGGGAAAGUAAAGUUAUUUAAAAAAUAAACUGUUGUUAAAAUAUAAACUAAAUAAAUAAAAUAUAAAUUGAAAACAAUAAUUUGACAUUAUAAAUGUAACCUCCAAUAUUAUGACAGACGUCAGUUACUAUGACAUCAUAUAUUAUACUCGUCACUAAUUCUAGCCAAUGAAAUGCUUGCUGUAAUAGGAAUGGCAUAUCAAAAAAAUCUGACUAUUCUCUAUAUAUUUUUUCAAAUUUAGAAUAUGGCAACAAGGGGAAAGUUAUGUGCAUUCCUCAUUGUUUGACUUUUCCUAUAUCUUUAGUAUCAGGUCAUCGUACAAUACAAAUACUUCCUGCAAUGAUUGGAAGUAAUGCAGAACAAGAAUUGAAUUUGGAAUCGCCGAGAAAAAGGAUUGGUGUACAAAAUAAGAAAGUAUAUAAAGGACAACAAACAUCUUCCAUAAGCGAUCAAAAUUGUAUAACUGAAAUUCAGGAAAUAGAUUCUGCUCCACCUUUAG
Molecule: long non-coding RNA, 5031 nt
Filed under: Diabrotica virgifera virgifera (western corn rootworm)
Lineage: Eukaryota; Metazoa; Arthropoda; Insecta; Coleoptera; Chrysomelidae
Description: uncharacterized LOC126889570
Source: RNAcentral